UACGGAGGAUGCAAGCGUUAUCCGGAAUGAUUGGGCGUAAAGCGUCCGCAGGUGGCUAUGUAAGUCUGCUGUUAAAGAGUGAGGCUCAACCUCAUAAGAGCAGUGGAAACUACAUGGCUAGAGUGCGUUCGGGGCAGAGGGAAUUCCUGGUGUAGCGGUGAAAUGCGUAGAGAUCAGGAAGAACACCGGUGGCGAAAGCGGCUCUCUGGGACGGUACUGACGCUGAGACGCGAAAGCGUGGGGAGCGAACAGG
This 253-nucleotide ribosomal RNA is filed under the name uncultured bacterium. RNAcentral describes it as "partial 16S ribosomal RNA". It matches the Rfam family "Bacterial small subunit ribosomal RNA", at positions 524 to 776 of the family's 1533-position model. The record is from RNAcentral.